This 433-nucleotide ribosomal RNA is filed under the name uncultured bacterium. Its description in RNAcentral is "partial 16S ribosomal RNA". It matches the Rfam family "Bacterial small subunit ribosomal RNA", at positions 29 to 507 of the family's 1533-position model. The record is from RNAcentral.
AACGAACGCUGGCGGCAUGCCUAACACAUGCAAGUCGAACGAGACCUUCGGGUCUAGUGGCGCACGGGUGCGUAACGCGUGGGAACCUGCCCUUAGGUUCGGAAUAACUCCCCGAAAGGGGUGCUAAUACCGGAUAAUGUCUUCGGACCAAAGAUUUAUCGCCUUUGGAUGGGCCCGCGUUCGAUUAGCUAGUUGGUAGGGUAAAAGCCUACCAAGGCGACGAUCCAUAGCUGGUCUGAGAGGAUGAUCAGCCACACUGGGACUGAGACACGGCCCAGACUCCUACGGGAGGGAGCAGUGGGGAAUAUUGGACAAUGGGCGAAAGCCUGAUCCAGCAAUGCCGCGUGAGUGAUGAAGGCCUUAGGGUUGUAAAGCUCUUUUACCCGGGAUGAUAAUGACAGUACCGGGAGAAUAAGCUCCGGCUAACUCCGUG